Molecule: long non-coding RNA, 3212 nt
Filed under: Equus asinus (donkey)
Lineage: Eukaryota; Metazoa; Chordata; Mammalia; Perissodactyla; Equidae
Description: lncRNA (ENSEASG00005026479.1)
Source: RNAcentral
GCCAAGCCCUGUGGGCACCCCCAACCCCCAAGGCUGGCCCCAGCGGCCAGUGAAUCAGGGCCCCUGCCCGCUCUGUUUACAUUGGAGCUGGGGAAAUUCUCCAAGGUUCAUAUUCAUCCGUGUGCUUAGCGAAGGCACUGGACUUUGGACUUCAGCCCCGCAGAGUGCAGGCCUCAUGGCAGCGCGCAGGGCCGGGAGCCGCGGCCUGCAGUGGGAGUGGGCAGAGUGGAGGGUGGGGGAGGCGGCGGUGGGGGCCCGGGCAGCUGGGAUGGAAGGUGCUGGGAGCCCGGGCGGCCUUCGGGUGAGCAGCUCCAGAUCUCACCCCCGGGACCUUGUAGGGGCGUCAGGCCGAGGCAGGAGAGCAGAAACAGCAUGUUUACCCGGGGAACAGGAGCAGCAAGGCAUUCUAGGCAGGUGGGCCAGCUCUCAUCAAGGGCAAGGCUAGGUCACAUCCAUCUUGUGACCCACCCUCAGGCCCCGAACCAGGCCUCCCCAUCAGAAGAACUGUUGACUGGCACAAGUCUACUGAGUGCCAGGGAUGUGCUCGUCUGUAACGUGCGUCAUGAGCUCAUUGUGUCCCCUAACAGCUGUGAGUAGGUACAGGGACUAUCCCCAUUUCACAGAGGAGGAAACUGAGGCCCUGAGAGGGUAAGCAACUUGCCCAAAAUCACACAGCUAGCAAGGGGCAAGAGGCAGGAUGGGAACAGGGUGAGGCCAGGUCAGGCACUCGACUCAGGGGUGAAUUUUAAGGGGGUGCCAAAAAACUCAGUAAUCGAGAAAAAUACUUUGAUACACUAUAUUAAAAAAUCUAAAUGAAUGCAAAACCCAAAAGAAUUAAAAACAUACGCUCCCACAGAAAUUUGCACAUGAAUGUUCAUAGCAGCAUUAUUCACAAUAGCCAAAAAGUAGAAAAAACAUAAAUAUCAACAGAUGAAUGGAUAAUUAAAAUGUGGGCUAUCCAUGCAAUGGUGCCUUAUUCGGCCAUAAAAAGGAAGGCAGUACUGAUCCGUGCUACAACGUGGAUGAACCUCGAAGAUGUUAUGCUGAGGGAAAUAAGCCAGACACAAAAGGCCACAUAUUGUGAGUCCAUUUACAUGAAAUGUCCAGAAUGGGCAAGUCCGUAGAGACAGAAAGUAGAUGAGUGGUUGUCAGGGGGUGGGGGGCAGGGGGAACGGGGAGUGGCUGCUUAACAGGUAUGGGGUGACUUUGGGGAUAAUGAAAAUGUUCCAGAAUUGAUUAGGUGAUGUUACCCAACUCUGUGACUCUACUAAAAAAGACUGAAUUGUGCACUUUUAAAGGGUGAAUUUUAUGAUAUAUCAAUCAAUAAAAAAUAUUUUUUUAAUUAAUGCAAAAAUUCUGUGAUGAACAAAAUAUCAACAUUUUAAAUAAAGACAGGCUCCGGCCCUCACUACCCUCCCCCUAAUCCCAGCCUAAUCCCUGGGUGAGUGCUGGUCCCUCACACCCCCACCCACCCCUUCCCUCCUCCAGAGCCUUGAUAAAAUUUCUGCACGUGUCCCCUCCGGUGGCCCUAAGCCCCCAGAACAGAGGCCGCACACCACUUCCUGGAGUAGGCAGGGUCAUGCUGAGGGGCCGCCCCCCAGGCUGGGGCAUGUCCAAAAGUUCCGUAUCUGUCAGGAGUCUGUAGAACCAGGGUCACAGCUGGCGACAGAGGAAGGGUGAAGGAGCUAUUGGCCAGAAAACUCUCGCACAGCCAGGCGAGCAGCUGUUUGCAAGGCCAAAGUUCAGGCAAGGCGUAAGGCUUCUUGGCCUUGGGAGGCAGCGCAAAGCACCGUGAGCCGGACUGAGACUCUUGGAAUUCGAUUACCACCACCCCCACCCCACCUCGGGCCCACCUGUGUUCAGACUCGGACUGUGCUUCCUCCCAGUCCCAUUGCCCUUUAAACCUGUAGUAAACAGUCGCUGGCAUAUGCAAUUUUCAUCCGUCUCAUUUAACAGCUCAGCAGCCUCAGGAGGUAGGUAAUUCUAUCCCAUUUUCUUCUGUUUUGUUUUCUUUCUUUCUUUCUUUCUUUUUUUUUUUUUUUUUUUGAGGAAGACUGGCCGUGAGCUAACAUCCGUGCCCAUCUUCCUCUACUUUCUAUGUGGGACGCCUACCACAGCAUGGCGUGCCGAGCAGUGCCAUGUCCGCACCCGGGAUCCGACCCUGCGAACCCCGGACUGCCGAAGCAGAAUGUGCGCACUUAACCGCUGCGGCACCGGACAGGCCCCUCUAUCCCAUUUUACAGAUGAGAAAACUGAGGCUCUAAGAAGAUGUGGAUCCUGCCCAGUUAAUGUGUGGCAGAGCUAGGAUGGGAACCCAGACCUCUCUGAUGCCAGAAUCCAAGCCCUUGACUGCUAGUCCAUGUACCUCUUUCUUUGAGGCAGUUCAUUCUCACUAAAUACUUGUUACUAUUACUUUUUCUUGUUGUUGUCCUGGGUAAGUAUAACUCUGCCCAUUGGCCUUGUCACCUCUGUGCUGGUUUUGCAGAUAAAGAAACUAAGGCGCCAAGGGAAGAAAACACAAUGGUUAAGAGCACAGGCUCAAGCCAGAGUGCCUGGAUUUGAGCUUGGCCCUGCCACUUGCCAGCUGUGUGACCUUGGGCAAGUUGCUUAACCUCUCUGUGCCUCAGUAUCCUCUUCUCUAAAAUGGGGAUGAAAAUACUGUCUGCCUCAUGGGUUGUUAGGAGGAUUAAUGAGGUAAUACACAUAAAGACUGUGCCUGGCACAUUGUAAGCGCUCCCUACUGUUGAAUGAUUAUUGUUACGUGAUUUUUAACAAGACUGUCCCACUCCUCUUGGCCAGGCUGAGUUCCCUUCUUUUGCAAAAGUGCUGCCACCAUUCCAUUUGACUCUUAAGCCCUGAUUCUGGCGUUCAAGGUCAUCAAUACCUCAACUCCGCUCUCUAACCAGGAGCAUACCUGGAAUCUCUCUCAUCUAGGCUUUUGCACAAGCAGUUUCCUCCACUGGAGACCUCCGCCUGUUAACCUGCCCUCAGAUCCUCCUGGAUCUUUUUCUGACCCCUUCUCUUACCCACAGCAGCAUGAGUCUUCACUAGCCAGCCUUCCCUAACUCACUAGAGCAGGGCCAGCAGUACCAGAAAGCCCUGGACUGAGGGUUAGAAAUACAGAUUCCUGGCUCCAUGCUCAAGGAUUUGAUUUAAUAGGUCUGGAGUGAGGCCAAAGGGUGCAAGCUCCUUGCAUCCAAGAGCAGAGGACU